UGGGGAAUUUUGGACAAUGGGCGAAAGCCUGAUCAGCAAUGCCGCGUGUGUGAAGAAGGCCUUCGGGUUGUAAAGCACUUUUGUCCGGAAAGAAAUCCUUGGCUCUAAUACAGUCGGGGGGAUGACGGUACCGGAAGAAUAAGCACCGGCUAACUACGUGCCAGCAGCCGCGGUAAUACGUAGGGUGCAAGCGUUAAUCGGAAUUACUGGGCGUAAAGCGUGCGCAGGCGGUUUGCUAAGACCGAUGUGAAAUCCCCGGGCUCAACCUGGGAACUGCAUUGGUGACUGGCAGGCUAGAGUAUGGCAGAGGGGGGUAGAAUUCCACGUGUAGCAGUGAAAUGCGUAGAGAUGUGGAGGAAUGCCGAUGGCGAAGGCAGCCCCCUGGGCCAAUACUGACGCUCAUGCACGAAAGCGUGGGGGAGCAAACAGGAUUAGAUACCCUGGUAGUCCACGCCCUAAACGAUGUCAACUAGUUGUUGGGGAUUCAUUUCCUUAGUAACGUAGCUAACGCGUGAAGUUGACCGCCUGGGGGAGUACGGUCGCAAGAUUAAAACUCAAAUGAAUUGACGGGG
RNAcentral lists this ribosomal RNA (572 nucleotides) under uncultured bacterium. RNAcentral describes it as "partial 16S ribosomal RNA". It matches the Rfam family "Bacterial small subunit ribosomal RNA", at positions 355 to 918 of the family's 1533-position model. The record is from RNAcentral.